GUGCUUGCAUCAUGAUUUACAUUUGAGUGAGUGGCGAACUGGUGAGUAACACGUGGGAAACCUGCCCAGAAGCGGGGGAUAACACCUGGAAACAGAUGCUAAUACCGCAUAACAACUUGGACCGCAUGGUCCGAGUUUGAAAGAUGGCUUCGGCUAUCACUUUUGGAUGGUCCCGCGGCGUAUUAGCUAGAUGGUGGGUAACGGCUCACCAUGGCAAUGAUACGUAGCCGACCUGAGAGGGUAAUCGGCCACAUUGGGACUGAGACACGGCCCAAACUCCUACGGGAGGCAGCAGUAGGGAAUCUUCCACAAUGGACGAAAGUCUGAUGGAGCAACGCCGCGUGAGUGAAGAAGGGUUUCGGCUCGUAAAACUCUGUUGUUAAAGAAGAACAUAUCUGAGAGUAACUGUUCAGGUAUUGACGGUAUUUAACCAGAAAGCCACGGCUAACUACGUGCCAGCAGCCGCGGUAAUACGUAGGUGGCAAGCGUUGUCCGGAUUUAUUGGGCGUAAAGCGAGCGCAGGCGGUUUUUUAAGUCUGAUG
RNAcentral lists this ribosomal RNA (542 nucleotides) under Lactiplantibacillus plantarum. Its description in RNAcentral is "bacterial SSU rRNA". It matches the Rfam family "Bacterial small subunit ribosomal RNA", at positions 64 to 594 of the family's 1533-position model. The record is from RNAcentral. Lineage: Bacteria; Bacillati; Bacillota; Bacilli; Lactobacillales; Lactobacillaceae.